UACGUAGGGGGCAAGCGUUGUCCGGAAUCAUUGGGCGUAAAGAGCGUGUAGGCGGCCCGAUAAGUCCGCUGUGAAAGUCCAGGGCUCAACCCUGGAAUGCCGGUGGAUACUGUCGGGCUCGAGUCCGGAAGAGGUGGAGUGGAAUUCCUGGUGUAGCGGGUGAAAUGCGCAGAUAUCAGGAGGAACACCCAAUGGCGAAGGCAGCUCACUGGGACGGUACUGACGCUGAGGUGCGAAAGCGUGGGGAGCAAACAGG
This 256-nucleotide ribosomal RNA is filed under the name uncultured bacterium. Its description in RNAcentral is "partial 16S ribosomal RNA". It matches the Rfam family "Bacterial small subunit ribosomal RNA", at positions 524 to 776 of the family's 1533-position model. The record is from RNAcentral.